UACGUAGGCAGCAAGCGUUGUUCGGAGUUACUGGGCGUAAAGGGUGUGUAGGCGGUUUUCUAAGUCUGGUGUGAAAUCUCCCGGCUCAACUGGGAGGGUGCGCCGAAAACUGGAAGCUAGAGUGCGGGAUGGGAGAGUGGAAUUCCUGGUGUAGCGGUGAAAUGCGCAGAUAUCGGGAGGAACACCAGUAGCGAAGGCGGCACUCUGGGCCGUGACUGACGCUGAGGAGCGAAAGCGUGGGUAGCAAACAGG
RNAcentral lists this ribosomal RNA (252 nucleotides) under uncultured bacterium. RNAcentral describes it as "partial 16S ribosomal RNA". It matches the Rfam family "Bacterial small subunit ribosomal RNA", at positions 524 to 776 of the family's 1533-position model. The record is from RNAcentral.